This 465-nucleotide ribosomal RNA is filed under the name uncultured bacterium. RNAcentral describes it as "partial 16S ribosomal RNA". It matches the Rfam family "Bacterial small subunit ribosomal RNA", at positions 28 to 507 of the family's 1533-position model. The record is from RNAcentral.
GACGAACGCUGGCGGCGUGCUUAACACAUGCAAGUCGAACGGAAAGGCCCCUUUGGGGGUCCUCGAGUGGCGAACGGGUGAGUAACACGUGAGUAACCUGCCCUUGACUUCGGGAUAACUUCAGGAAACUGGGGCUAAUACCGGCUAGGAAUCCUUGCUGCAUGGUGGGGGUUGGCAAGCUUCGGCGGUUUUGGAUGGACUCGCGGCUUAUCAGCUUGUUGGUGGGGUAGUGGCUUACCAAGGCUUUGACGGGGAGCCGGCCUGGGCGGGCGACCGGCCACAUUGGCACUGAGAUACGGCCCAGACUCCUACGGGAGUCAUCGGCGGUGAAUGUUGCACUGUGGGCGGAAGCUUGAUUCAGCAACGCCGCGUGCGUGAUUAGGGCCUUCGUGUUGUAAGCCGCUUUCAGCAGGGGCGAGGCUUGUGUUGACGGUACCUGAUGAAUAAGCACCGGCUAACUACGUG